CCCUUAGAUGUUCUGGGCCGCACGCGUGCUACACUGAGUGGAUCAGCGGGUCAGGUUGCGCGAAAGUGUUUCCUAAUCUUUAAAUCCGCUCGUGAUGGGGAUUGACGGUUGCAAUUUUCCGCCAUGAACGAGGAAUACCUUGUAAGCGCGGGUCAUCAUCCCGCGCUGAAUACGUCCCUGCCCUUUGUACACACCGCCCGUCGCCCCUACCGAUUGAGUGGUCCGGUGAGGCUUUGGGAUCUGAGCGGAAAGAGCGUUUCGCUGUUUCUGCCCGGAAAACUCAGUCGAACCUUAUCAUUUAGAGGAAGGAGAAGUCGUAACA
RNAcentral lists this ribosomal RNA (322 nucleotides) under uncultured eukaryote. RNAcentral's name for it is "partial 18S ribosomal RNA". It matches the Rfam family "Eukaryotic small subunit ribosomal RNA", at positions 1470 to 1796 of the family's 1831-position model. The record is from RNAcentral.